RNAcentral lists this long non-coding RNA (470 nucleotides) under Pongo abelii (Sumatran orangutan). RNAcentral's name for it is "lincRNA". Lineage: Eukaryota; Metazoa; Chordata; Mammalia; Primates; Hominidae. The record is from RNAcentral.
UCUUCUCUUGCCCGCUGCUGUGUGAGACGUGCCUUUCACCUUCCUCCAUGAUUAUGAGACCUCCCCAGCCACAUAGAACUAACUGAAUAGUUGCUUUAAAAAGGUGAAAUGAGAUAGCCAAAGUAGAAUAUACUCACCCCAAAGUUGCCUCAGAGUUGCUGAAGUCACUCUUAUUCUCUCAUGUUUGCUCAGACCUCCACUUCAAGAACAGGGACAUGCAUGACAUUUGGUGCCAAAACCUGGGCAGGAAGACUGCUUCGGGAGACUGGUCCCCUGUCCUUGUCAUCACUGCGUGAGGAGAUCCACCUAUGACCUUGGGUCCUCAGACCAACCAGCCCAAGGAACAUCUCACCAAUUUCAUAUCGGUUACGUCUAUUUUUAAAGAAAACUGGAGCUGCCCAUAAUGCUUUAUUGGACAAAUAAUACUUCACUGUGAAAACUUUCCCCAACCACAGCCUCCACAAGAGCAU